Molecule: ribosomal RNA, 1635 nt
Filed under: Triticum aestivum (bread wheat)
Lineage: Eukaryota; Viridiplantae; Streptophyta; Magnoliopsida; Poales; Poaceae
Description: partial small subunit ribosomal RNA
Source: RNAcentral
AUGAGCUGCCGCGCGGCUCCAUGGGGCCGCCCGUCGGCCCCCCGGAGCCGGCCCUUUCCCGCCUCGGCGCGCCUCCGCGGCCCGUUCGGGGGUUUGAAUGCGUGGAAGAAUCCAAUCCUCAAAAACUCGUUUGGGCUGCCGGCGAUGUUUGGGCUGCCGUCUGGACUGUUCAGAUGCAUGGCUUCAAGUGGCUCUGGGGAUGGCGGCUUUUCUCGUCCUCAAUCAAUUGAUGAAGCGCCGAUGCCGCUGUACUCUUGGCCAGACAAGAAGCGGCCACGGGUAUGCAUUUUGGGUGGUGGAUUUGGUGGGCUGUAUACUGCUCUGAGACUAGAAUCUCUUGUAUGGCCUGGUAAUAACAAGCCUCAGGUGAUGCUAGUUGAUCAAUCUGACAGAUUUGUAUUCAAGCCCAUGCUGUACGAGCUCUUAUCAGGAGAGGUGGAUGUCUGGGAAAUAGCUCCGUAUUUUACAGAGCUACUGAAGAACACUAGUGUUCAAUUUGUGAAGGAUAGUGUAAAGCUUCUUCGCCCUUCUGAUCACUUAAGAAGAGAGCCUGGAGUAUCAUGCACUGGCGGAGUUGUUCAUCUUGAAAGUGGCACCGUUGUUGAAUAUGAUUGGCUCGUUCUAGCUCUAGGGGCUGAAGCUAAGAUUGACGUCGUUCCAGGAUCUGCGGAAUAUGCACUUCCUUUCACAACUUUGGAACAUGCUUUGAAAGUUGAAAGUGAAUUGAAAAUGUUAGAAAGGAGAAGGUUUGGUAAGAAGUCCCCACCUAUUCAGGUGGCCAUUGUGGGACUUGGUUACUCUGGUGUUGAGCUAGCUGCCACUAUCUCUGAGAGAUUAAAGAACACAGGGACUGUCAAAGCAAUCAAUUUUCAAACAACCAUCUGUCCUAACGCACCACCAGGAAAUCGUGAAGCUGCUCUGAAGGUUCUUGAGUCCCAAAAUAUCCAACUUUUCUUGGGAUAUUCGGUGAACUGCAUCAGAGAGGUUUAUGCAUCUGAGGAUUCAGGUAGCAUGGUUGCAGAUGCAAAAGUUGGGGGUGACGAUAAGAAACUAGUUUUGGAACUUCAAGCUGCUCAAAGAGGCCUCCAGAGCCAGGUUCUGGAGGCCGAUCUGGUACUAUGGACAGUGGGUUCACAAUCCCAGAUUCUUCGGUUACAACCUCCUGAUGCCCCAUACGUGAUUCCUUUGAAUGGCCGGGGCCAAGUAGAGACAGAGGAAACCCUUCAAGUAAAGGGCCAUCCUAGAACAUUUGCAAUUGGUGAUUCAGCAGCUCUAAGAGACCCAUCAGGAAAAUUUCUCCCAGCCAACGCACAGGUUGCUUUUCAGCAAGCAGAUUUCGCUGGAUGGAAUCUCUGGGCGGCAAUCAAUGACCGGCCCCUUUUGCCGUUCAGGUUCCAAAAUCUUGGUGAGAUGAUGACACUGGGUAGAAAUGAUGCUGCGAUAACAGCAAAUUUCAUCGAGGGACUGACCUUGGAAGGGCCUGUAGGGCAUGCUGCUAGGAAGCUCGUGUACUGCCUCAGGAUGCCCACAGAUGAGCACCGGGUGAAGGUUGGAGUCAGUUGGUUGGCAAAGGGUGCUGUUGAUUCGCUUGCGUCUCUGCAGACUGCAGUAAGUAACAUAAUUGCGGGCUCCUGA